GAUGAACGCUGGCGGCGUGCCUAAUACAUGCAAGUCGAGCGAAGGGACGAGAAGCUUGCUUCUCUGAUGUUAGCGGCGGACGGGUGAGUAACACGUGGAUAACCUACCUAUAAGACUGGGAUAACUUCGGGAAACCGUAGCUAAUACCGGAUAAUAUUUUGCACCGCAUGGUUCAAAAGUGAAAGACGGUCUUGCUGUCACUUAUAGAUGGAUCCGCGCUUCAUUAGCUAGUUGGUAAGGUAACGGCUUACCAAGGCAACGAUGCAUAGCCGACCUGAGAGGGUGAUCGGCCACACUGGAACUGAGACACGGUCCAGACUCCUACGGGAGGCAGCAGUAGGGAAUCUUCCGCAAUGGGCGAAAGCCUGACGGAGCAACGCCGCAUGAGUGAUGAAGGUCUUCGGAUCGUAAUACUCUGUUAUUAGGGAAGAACAUAUGUGUAAGUAACUGUGCACAUCUUGACGGUACCUAAUCAGAAAGCCACGGCUAACUACGUG
This 497-nucleotide ribosomal RNA is filed under the name uncultured bacterium. Its description in RNAcentral is "partial 16S ribosomal RNA". It matches the Rfam family "Bacterial small subunit ribosomal RNA", at positions 28 to 507 of the family's 1533-position model. The record is from RNAcentral.